GAUGAACGCUGGCGGCGUGCCUAAUACAUGCAAGUCGAGCGAACGGACGAGAAGCUUGCUUCUCUGAUGUUAGCGGCGGACGGGUGAGUAACACGUGGAUAACCUACCUAUAAGACUGGGAUAACUUCGGGAAACCGGAGCUAAUACCGGAUAAUAUUUUGAACCGCAUGGUUCAAAGGUGAAAGACGGUCUUGCUGUCACUUAUAGAUGGAUCCGCGCUGCAUUAGCUAGUUGGUAAGGUAACGGCUUACCAAGGCAACGAUGCAUAGCCGACCUGAGAGGGUGAUCGGCCACAUGGGAACUGAGACACGGUCCAGACUCCUACGGGAGGCAGCAGUAGGGAAUCUUCCGCAACGGGCGAAAGCCUGACGGAGCAACGCCGCGUGAGUGAUGAAGGUCUUCGGAGCGUAAAACUCUGUUAUUAGGGAAGAACAGAUGUGUAAGUAACUGUGCAGAUCUUGACGGUACCUGAUAAGAAAGCAACGGCUAACUACGUG
Molecule: ribosomal RNA, 497 nt
Filed under: uncultured bacterium
Lineage: Bacteria
Description: partial 16S ribosomal RNA
Rfam family: Bacterial small subunit ribosomal RNA
Source: RNAcentral